Molecule: long non-coding RNA, 564 nt
Organism: Myotis brandtii (Brandt's bat)
Lineage: Eukaryota; Metazoa; Chordata; Mammalia; Chiroptera; Vespertilionidae
Exons: 2
Source: RefSeq, a predicted model, not a curated record
UUCAGUUGAUCAGCAUAGCCAGGUUCUCUGGCCAGACACAUUUAUUCAGCAUCAUGAUCAGACUAUUACAUUUAGCAAUCAACAGCAUGGGUGCAAAAAAAAAAAAUCUACAUUAAAACCCUUGGUUGGAAUGCUUUACACUUUCCACAGAACAGAAACUAAAUAACCUGUUAUACAAUUAGUCAGAAAUACAGUCCUCGAGUUUUUUUUUGCCCAUUCACAUGAGUAUUGUCUAACACAUGUCUUCUUUGUAGCAGCUAGGCCCUGCCACCACUGUGCUUGGCUGAGUUCACAAAUCUGUUGUAACCUGUAGCUUCCCUGUCACUUCUCUGGCUCUCCUCUCCUGCUAAGCUUUGUUUCCUGGCAGUAAUUAAAACCUUCUGCCACUGCCAUAGCUACUGCUGCUGCUGGAACCGCCAUAGCCACCUUGGUUUCGUGGUUUGGCAAAGUAUUGACCUCCACCACCAUAAGGGCCAGAGCUUCUGCCUCCAAAGUUUCCUCCUUUCAUAGGCCCAAAAUUUGAAGAUUGAUUGUUGUAAUUGCCAAAAUCAUUGUAGCUUCCAC